This 24-nucleotide non-coding RNA is filed under the name Arabidopsis thaliana (thale cress). The record is from RNAcentral. Lineage: Eukaryota; Viridiplantae; Streptophyta; Magnoliopsida; Brassicales; Brassicaceae.
AGCCGCAGACAAUCAGAGAUGCCC